UGGGGAAUAUUGGACAAUGGGGGGAACCCUGAUCCAGCCAUGCCGCGUGUGUGAAGAAGGCCUUAUGGUUGUAAAGCACUUUAAGCGAGGAGGAGGGUACUGGUAUUAAUACUACCAGGUACUGGACGUUACUCGCAGAAUAAGCACCGGCUAACUCUGUGCCAGCAGCCGCGGUAAUACAGAGGGUGCGAGCGUUAAUCGGAUUUACUGGGCGUAAAGCGUGCGUAGGCGGCUAAUUGAGUCGGAUGUGAAAUCCCCGAGCUUAACUGGGGAAUUGCAGUCGAUACUGGUUAGCUAGAGUGUGGGAGAGGAGGGUAGAAUUCAAGGUGUAGCGGUGAAAUGCGGAGAGAUCAGGAGGAAUACAGAUGGAGAAGGCAGCCAUCUGGCCUAACACUGACGCUGAGGUACGAAGGCAUGGGGAGCAAACAGG
Molecule: ribosomal RNA, 430 nt
Filed under: Pseudomonadota bacterium
Lineage: Bacteria; Pseudomonadati; Pseudomonadota
Description: Proteobacteria bacterium partial 16S ribosomal RNA
Rfam family: Bacterial small subunit ribosomal RNA
Source: RNAcentral